This 301-nucleotide ribosomal RNA is filed under the name uncultured bacterium. RNAcentral describes it as "partial 16S ribosomal RNA". It matches the Rfam family "Bacterial small subunit ribosomal RNA", at positions 509 to 807 of the family's 1533-position model. The record is from RNAcentral.
CAGUAGCCACGGGAAUACGGAGGGAGCUAGCGUUGUUCGGAAUUACUGGGCGUAAAGGGUGCGUAGGCGGUUUGAUAAGUUUGAUGUGAAAUCUCUGGGCUCAACCCAGAGUCUGCAUCGAAAACUGUCGGGCUUGAGUAUGGGAGAGGUGAGUGGAAUUUCCGGUGUAGCGGUGAAAUGCGUAGAUAUCGGAAGGAACACCUGUGGCGAAAGCGGCUCACUGGACCAUUACUGACGCUGAUGCACGAAAGCUAGGGGAGCAAACAGGAUUAGAUACCCCCGUAGUCCCUGUCUCUUAUAC